RNAcentral lists this ribosomal RNA (600 nucleotides) under uncultured bacterium. RNAcentral describes it as "bacterial SSU rRNA". It matches the Rfam family "Bacterial small subunit ribosomal RNA", at positions 722 to 1329 of the family's 1533-position model. The record is from RNAcentral.
CAGCUGACGAGCCCUUUACUGACGCUAAAGCUCGAAGGUGCGGGUAUCGAACAGGAUUAGAUACCCUGGUAGUCCGCACGGUAAACGAUGGAUGCCCGCUGUAUGCGAUAUAUUGUAUGCGGCCAAGCGAAAGCGUUAAGCAUCCCACCUGGGGAGUACGCCGGCAACGGUGAAACUCAAAGGAAUUGACGGGGGCCCGCACAAGCGGAGGAACAUGUGGUUUAAUUCAAUGAUACGCGAGGAACCUUACCCGGGCUUGAACUGCAGGGGAACGAUCCAGAGAUGGUGAGGUCAGCAAUGACCCCUGUGGAGGUGCUGCAUGGUUGUCGUCAGCUCGUGCCGUGAGGUGUCGGCUUAAGUGCCAUAACGAGCGCAACCCCUUUCGCCAGUUGCCAUCAGGUGAUGCUGGGCACUCCGGCGACACUGCCACCGCAAGGUGUGAGGAAGGUGGGGAUGACGUCAAAUCAGCACGGCCUUUACGUCCGGGGCUACACACUGGACGGGCGGUGUGUACAGAGAGUCAGGACGUAGCAACGUCGCCAAAUCACGAAAGGAUCCUCAGUUCGGAAGCGGGUAUGCAACCCGACGCCGUGAAGCAGG